This 392-nucleotide ribosomal RNA is filed under the name uncultured bacterium. Its description in RNAcentral is "partial 16S ribosomal RNA". It matches the Rfam family "Bacterial small subunit ribosomal RNA", at positions 523 to 918 of the family's 1533-position model. The record is from RNAcentral.
AUACGGAGGAUCCGAGCGUUAUCCGGAUUUAUUGGGUUUAAAGGGUGCGCAGGCGGCCAUUUAAGUCAGCGGUUAAAUCGUGGGGCUCAACCCCAUUCUGCCGUUGAUACUGGGUGGCUUGAUUGCGGUCGAGGUUGGCGGAAUUCGUUGUGAAGCGGCGGAAUGCAUAGAUAUGACGAAGAACACUGAUUGCGUAGGCAGCUGACCAGACCGCAAAUGACGCUCAUGCACGAAAGUGCGGGGAUCGAACAGGAUUAGAUACCCUGGUAGUCCGCACAGUAAACGAUGAAUACUUAUUUUCGGCGAUAUAAUGUCGGAGGCAAAGCGAAAGCGAUAAGUAUUCCACCUGGGGAGUACACCGGCAACGGUGAAACUCAAAUGAAUUGGCGGGG